AUAUGGCUCAGAACGAACGCUGGCGGCGAUGGAUAGGCAUGCAAGUGAACGAACUCCUUCGGGAGUGAGUAGCGGAAGGGUGAGGAACGCGUGAGUAAUCUGCCCCCCAGUUGGAACAACAGUUGGAAACGGCUGCUAAUACCGAAUGUGGCUGGAAUCCCGCAUGAGAUUCCGGCUAAAGAUUUAUCGCUGGGGGAUGAGCUCGCGUCCCAUUAGGUAGUUGGUGAGGUAACGGCUCACCAAGCCGACGAUGGGUAGCUGGUCUGAGAGGAUGGUCAGCCACACUGGGACUGAGACACUGCCCAGACUCCUACGGGAGGCUGCAGUCGAGAAUCUUGGGCAAUGCGCGAAAGCCGUGACCCAGCAAUGCCGCGUGUAUGAUGAAGGCCCUCGGGUCGUAAAGUACUGUCUCCCGUGACGAAAAAUGACGGUAGCGGGGAAGGAAGCCACGGCUAACUACGUGCCAGCAGCCGC
RNAcentral lists this ribosomal RNA (474 nucleotides) under uncultured bacterium. RNAcentral's name for it is "bacterial SSU rRNA". It matches the Rfam family "Bacterial small subunit ribosomal RNA", at positions 17 to 518 of the family's 1533-position model. The record is from RNAcentral.